UGGCAAGUCGAACGAGGUCCGGAGCUUGCUCCGGGUGCCUAGUGGCGAACGGGUGAGUAACGCGUGGGAAUCUGCCCUGGAGUGGGGGAACAACAGUUGGAAACGACUGCUAAUACCCGCAUACGCCCUGAGGGGGAAAGGCUUCGGCCGCUCUUGGAUGAUCCCGCGUCUGAUUAGCUUGUUGGUGGGGUAACGGCCUACCAAGGCGACGAUCAGUAGCUGGUCUGAGAGGAUGAUCAGGCCACCACUGGGACUGAGACACGGCCCAGACUCC
Molecule: ribosomal RNA, 274 nt
Filed under: uncultured bacterium
Lineage: Bacteria
Description: partial 16S ribosomal RNA
Rfam family: Bacterial small subunit ribosomal RNA
Source: RNAcentral